UACAGAGGUCCCAAGCGUUGUUCGGAUUCACUGGGCGUAAAGGGUGCGCAGGUGGGCUGGUAAGUUUGAUGUGAAAGCCCCGGGCUUAACCCGGGAAUGGCAUUGAAUACGACUGGUCUGGAGGGUUGGAGGGGGGACUGGAAUUCUUGGUGUAGCAGUGAAAUGCGUAGAUAUCAAGAGGAACACCAGUGGCGAAGGCGAGUCCCUGGACAAUACCUGACACUGAGGCACGAAAGCUAGGGGAGCAAACAGG
RNAcentral lists this ribosomal RNA (253 nucleotides) under uncultured bacterium. RNAcentral's name for it is "partial 16S ribosomal RNA". It matches the Rfam family "Bacterial small subunit ribosomal RNA", at positions 524 to 776 of the family's 1533-position model. The record is from RNAcentral.